CCGGGGUGACGAAGUGGUUGAUGCCAUGCUUCCAAGAAAAGCUUCUAAGCUUCAGGUAACCAGGAACCGUACCCCAAACCGACACAGGUGGUUGGGUAGAGAAUACCAAGGCGCUUGAGAGAACUCGGGUGAAGGAACUAGGCAAAAUGGCACCGUAACUUCGGGAGAAGGUGCGCCGGUGAGGGUGAAGGACUUGCUCCGUAAGCCCACGCCGGUCGAAGAUACCAGGCCGCUGCGACUGUUUAUUAAAAACACAGCACUCUGCAAACACGAAAGUGGACGUAUAGGGUGUGACGCCUCCCCGGUGCCGGAAGGUUAAUUGAUGGGGUUAGCUAACGCGAAGCUCUUGAUCGAAGCCCCGGUAAACGGCGGCCGUAACGAUAACGGUCCUAAGGUAGCGAAAUUCCUUGUCGGGUAAGUUCCGACCUGCACGAAUGGCGUAACGAUGGCGGCGCUGUCUCCACCCGAGACUCAGUGAAAUUGAAAUCGCUGUGAAGAUGCAGUGUAUCCGCGGCUAGACGGAAAGACCCCGUGAACCUUUACUAUAGCUUUGCACUGGACUUUGAAUUUGCUUGUGUAGGAUAGGUGGGAGGCUUUGAAGCGUGGACGCCAGUUCGCGUGGAGCCAACCUUGAAAUACCACCCUGGCAACUUUGAGGUUCUAGCUCAGGUCCGUUAUCCGGAUCGAGGACAGUGUAUGGUGGGUAGUUUGACUGGGGCGGUCUCCUCCUAAAGAGUAACGGAGGAGUACGAAGGUGCGCUCAGACCGGUCGGAAAUCGGUCGUAGAGUAUAAAGGCAAAAGCGCGCUUGACUGCGAGACAGACACGUCGAGCAGGUACGAAAGUAGGUCUUAGUGAUCCGGUGGUUCUGUAUGGAAGGGCCAUCGCUCAACGGAUAAAAGGUACUCCGGGGAUAACAGGCUGAUACCGCCCAAGAGUUCAUAUCGACGGCGGUGUUUGGCACCUCGAUGUCGGCUCAUCACAUCCUGGGGCUGAAGCCGGUCCCAAGGGUAUGGCUGUUCGCCAUUUAAAGUGGUACGCGAGCUGGGUUUAGAACGUCGUGAGACAGUUCGGUCCCUAUCUGCCGUGGACGUUUGAGAUUUGAGAGGGGCUGCUCCUAGUACGAGAGGACCGGAGUGGACGAACCUCUGGUGUUCCGGUUGUCACGCCAGUGGCAUUGCCGGGUAGCUAUGUUCGGAAUAGAUAACCGCUGAAAGCAUCUAAGCGGGAAACUAGCCUCAAGAUGAGAUCUCACUGGGACCUUGAGUCCCCUGAAGGGCCGUCGAAGACUACGACGUUGAUAGGUUGGGUGUGUAAGCGCUGUGAGGCGUUGAGCUAACCAAUACUAAUUGCCCGUGAGGCUUGACCU
This 1368-nucleotide ribosomal RNA is filed under the name metagenome. RNAcentral's name for it is "bacterial LSU rRNA". It matches the Rfam family "Bacterial large subunit ribosomal RNA", at positions 1577 to 2925 of the family's 2925-position model. The record is from RNAcentral.